GCGUGGGAAUCUGCCCAAUAGUGGGGGACAACAGUUGGAAACGACUGCUAAUACCGCAUACGCCCUACGGGGGAAAGGAGGGGAGUCUUCGGACCUUUCGCUAUUGGAUGAGCCCGCGUCGGAUUAGCUAGUUGGUGGGGUAAAGGCCUACCAAGGCGACGAUCCGUAGCUGGUCUGAGAGGAUGAUCAGCCACACUGGAACUGAGACACGGUCCAGACCCCUACGGGAGGCAGCAGUGGGGAAUAUUGGACAAUGGGGGAAACCCGUGAUCCAGCCAUGCCGCGUGUGUGAAGAAGGCC
Molecule: ribosomal RNA, 300 nt
Filed under: uncultured Alteromonadaceae bacterium
Lineage: Bacteria; Pseudomonadati; Pseudomonadota; Gammaproteobacteria; Alteromonadales; Alteromonadaceae
Description: bacterial SSU rRNA
Rfam family: Bacterial small subunit ribosomal RNA
Source: RNAcentral